UGGGGAAUUUUGGACAAUGGGGGAAACCCUGAUCCAGCCAUCCCGCGUGUGCGAUGAAGGCCUUCGGGUUGUAAAGCACUUUUGGCAGGAAAGAAACGUCGCGGGUUAAUACCCCGCGAAACUGACGGUACCUGCAGAAUAAGCACCGGCUAACUACGUGCCAGCAGCCGCGGUAAUACGUAGGGUGCAAGCGUUAAUCGGAAUUACUGGGCGUAAAGCGUGCGCAGGCGGUUCGGAAAGAAAGAUGUGAGAUCCCAGAGCUUAACUUUGGAACUGCAUUUUUAACUACCGGGCUAGAGUGUGUCAGAGGGAGGUGGAAUUCCGCGUGUAGCAGUGAAAUGCGUAGAUAUGCGGAGGAACACCGAUGGCGAAGGCAGCCUCCUGGGAUAACACUGACGCUCAUGCACGAAAGCGUGGGGAGCAAACAGGAUUAGAUACCCUGGUAGUCCACGCCCUAAACGAUGUCAACUAGCUGUUGGGGCCUUCGGGCCUUGGUAGCGCAGCUAACGCGUGAAGUUGACCGCCUGGGGAGUACGGUCGCAAGAUU
This 547-nucleotide ribosomal RNA is filed under the name uncultured bacterium. RNAcentral describes it as "partial 16S ribosomal RNA". It matches the Rfam family "Bacterial small subunit ribosomal RNA", at positions 355 to 895 of the family's 1533-position model. The record is from RNAcentral.